GUGUCUGUUGGAAAGUUGUCAGGUGGAGGUCAGAGGCUCGGACCUCUGGGAAGUUGCAGUUGUAGUGUUAACACCAGUGACAACACGUUACCCACACACUGCCUACAGUGUAUGUAUCAUUUUACUUACUAGGACACACUGAUGGCUGGAUACCUCACUUGUGCCUUGUUGCUGGUGGCUUUCUGCUUCUCAGCUGUUCACUCUGAAAGACUGAGGAGGGCGAGUCCCACUAAACCAAUCUAUGGCAUCGCUGGUGGAGUAGACGCCUCGCAUCCCAGCUCGGUAA
Molecule: long non-coding RNA, 286 nt
Organism: Cherax quadricarinatus
Lineage: Eukaryota; Metazoa; Arthropoda; Malacostraca; Decapoda; Parastacidae
Source: RefSeq, a predicted model, not a curated record